AUCGCUUCUCGGCUUUUUGGCUAAGAUCAAGUGCAGUAUCAAAUAAACACUGACAAAAUUGUCUUCUUGUUUGCAUUUUUCUCUUCUAUUAAAUUAACAUAAGUUACUUUUUACUUUUUUAACAAUCCAAUGAUUUGGGAGUAGCUAAA
This is a small nuclear RNA of Oryctolagus cuniculus (rabbit), 149 nucleotides long. Its record names the gene U2. It matches the Rfam family "U2 spliceosomal RNA". From Rfam's summary of the family: U2 is a small nuclear RNA (snRNA) component of the spliceosome (involved in pre-mRNA splicing). The record is from Ensembl. Lineage: Eukaryota; Metazoa; Chordata; Mammalia; Lagomorpha; Leporidae.